CUGGUAUCUGGGGACAGUUGGAUACAAAGGCUAGAGAGGAGCUAGAGGAUGGCAUGAGGGGAACAAAGAAAGAGCUUUGUGACUGCAAAGAGAGUUGGAGUUUUGCUAGGCUGAAGCUUCUGUAUUCCUAAAUAGAGAGACUGAGAUACAGAUUAAGAGGAAAAGCAGAAUGGGAACUGAGCAGGAGGAGGCUGAUUUGGGCAGAAGUCAGUGGAUCUAAUUUGAUGUUGAUCCUCUUCCAUAUCACACUGUGAAAAGGAGGAAUCUUUGGACCAAUUUACUGGACACACUUUCCUGGAGAAUUCCUGGGACAGCUCUUCUCCCUGAGCAGAAGCAAUCACUGCAUUGUGGAGAUUCUCCAGGCUUCUCUUUGACCUCCCUUGCACAGAGUUUCAUCACCCCAGCCUGGAGUGGGUGAUGAAGCAGCAUGAGGAACCCUGUAUGUGUCUCCUCUGCUUGCCAGCAUUAGCAUUAGUUUUUGCACUUGCCAGUGUCAUUCAGUGUGUGAUGAGUUCACAGAGCAGAUUAAGAUAAACAAUGGAGGCUAUUAAUGAGAGCCAGGAAGGAUGGUGAGGGGAAAUCACACAUGAAAAAUUGGCUGCUCUUUUUUCCCCCCCACCUUAUCUCUGUUAUAUCUUGUGAUGGUACAAAGAUAUGCAAAG
RNAcentral lists this long non-coding RNA (662 nucleotides) under Parus major (Great Tit). RNAcentral's name for it is "lncRNA (ENSPMJG00000007695.1)". Lineage: Eukaryota; Metazoa; Chordata; Aves; Passeriformes; Paridae. The record is from RNAcentral.